This 96-nucleotide ribosomal RNA is filed under the name Phaseolus vulgaris (common bean). Its description in RNAcentral is "rRNA SSU_rRNA_eukarya". The record is from RNAcentral. Lineage: Eukaryota; Viridiplantae; Streptophyta; Magnoliopsida; Fabales; Fabaceae.
GAAAGUUGGGGGCUCGAAGACGAUCAGAUACCGUCCUAGUCUCAACCAUAAACGAAUAAUUAGACGCGUUAAUUAAGUGCGUUACGUUUUAUGAUU